AACGAACGCUGGCGGCAUGCCUAACACAUGCAAGUCGAACGGGAUCCAGGCUUCGGCCUGGUGAGAGUGGCGGACGGGUGAGUAACGCGUGGGAACCUGCCCAAUGGUCUGGGAUAACCGCGGGAAACUGCGGCUAAUACCGGAUAAGCCCGAGAGGGGAAAGAUUUAUCGCCGAUGGAGGGGCCCGCGUCAGAUUAGGUAGUUGGUGGGGUAAUGGCCUACCAAGCCUACGAUCUGUAGCUGGCUGAGAGGAUGAUCAGCCACACUGGGACUGAGAUACGGCCCAGACUCCUACGGGAGGCAGCAGUGGGGAAUAUUGGACAAUGGGGCAACCCUGAUCCAGCAAUGCCGCGUGAGUGAUGAAGGCCUUAGGGUUGUAAAGCUC
RNAcentral lists this ribosomal RNA (385 nucleotides) under uncultured bacterium. RNAcentral describes it as "bacterial SSU rRNA". It matches the Rfam family "Bacterial small subunit ribosomal RNA", at positions 29 to 433 of the family's 1533-position model. The record is from RNAcentral.